CCUACGGGAGGCAGCAGUGAGGAAUAUUGGUCAAUGGCCGGAAGGCUGAACCAGCCAUGCCGCGUGAAGGUCAGUGCCCUAUGGGCGUUAAACUUCUUUUGUGCGGGAGCAAUAAUGGUCACGUGUGGCCAGACGAGAGUACCGUACGAAUAAGCAUCGGCUAACUCCGUUCCAGCAGCCGCGGUAAUACGGGGGAUGCAAGCGUUAUCCGGAUUUAUUGGGUUUAAAGGGUGCGUAGGCUGUGAGGUAAGUCAGCGGUGAAAUGCCCCCGCGCAACGGGGUGAAGUGCCAUUGAUACUGCCUGGCUGGAAUGCGGAUGCCGUAGGAGGAAUGUGUGGUGUAGCGGUGAAAUGCAUAGAUAUCACACAGAACACCGAUUGCGAAGGCAUCUCACGAAUCCGCGAUUGACGCUGAUGCACGAAAGCGUGGGUAUCAAACAGGAUUAGAUACCCUUGUAGUC
This 460-nucleotide ribosomal RNA is filed under the name uncultured bacterium. RNAcentral describes it as "partial 16S ribosomal RNA". It matches the Rfam family "Bacterial small subunit ribosomal RNA", at positions 338 to 795 of the family's 1533-position model. The record is from RNAcentral.